GAGGGUAAGGCUCAGUGGUACAGUGUGUGCCUGGCAUGCAGAAGGUCCUAGGUUCAAUUCCCAGCACCUCCA
Molecule: transfer RNA, 72 nt
Filed under: Camelus bactrianus (Bactrian camel)
Lineage: Eukaryota; Metazoa; Chordata; Mammalia; Artiodactyla; Camelidae
Also listed under: 2 other names
Rfam family: tRNA
About the family: Transfer RNA (tRNA) molecules are approximately 80 nucleotides in length. Their secondary structure includes four short double-helical elements and three loops (D, anti-codon, and T loops).
Source: Rfam by way of RNAcentral